ACGAGCUCUCCAAACGUUAUUCGGUAUUACUGGGCUUAAAGAGUUCGUAGGCGGCUUUGUAGGUGAGAUGUGAAAGCCCUCGGCUUAACCGAGGAACUGCGUUUCAAACCACAGGGCUUGAGGGAGAUAGGGGUAAGCGGAACAGAUGGUGGAGCGGUGAAAUGCAUUGAUAUCAUCUGGAACACCGGUGGCGAAGGCGGCUUACUGGGUCUUUUCUGACGCUGAGGAACGAAAGCUAGGGUAGCGAACGGGAUUAGAUACCCCGGUAGUCCUAGCCGUAAACGAUGAGCACUAGUCUGAGGGACUCUCACAGUUUCUCGGACGUAGCGAAAGUGUUAAGUGCUCCGCCUGGGGAGUAUGGUCGCAAGGCUG
This 372-nucleotide ribosomal RNA is filed under the name uncultured bacterium. Its description in RNAcentral is "bacterial SSU rRNA". It matches the Rfam family "Bacterial small subunit ribosomal RNA", at positions 525 to 896 of the family's 1533-position model. The record is from RNAcentral.